AAGUAGGGGAUCGCAAGACCUUGCGCUUUUGGAGUGGCCGAUGCCUGAUUAGCUAGUUGGUGGGGUAAGGGCCUACCAAGGCGACGAUCAGUAGUUGGUCUGAGAGGACGACCAGCCACACUGGGACUGAGACACGGCCCAGACUCCUACGGGAGGCAGCAGUGGGGAAUUUUGGACAAUGGGCGAAAGCCUGAUCCAGCAAUGCCGCGUGAGUGAAGAAGGCCUUCGGGUUGUAAAGCUCUUUCAGUCGAGAAGAAAAGGUCGCGACUAAUAAUCGCGACUCAUGACGGUAUCGACAGAAGAAGCACCGGCUAACUACGUGCCAGCAGCCGCGGUAAUACGUAGGGUGCGAGCGUUAAUCGGAAUUACUGGGCGUAAAGGGUGCGCAGGCGGCUUUGUAAGUCAGAUGUGAAAUCCCCGGGCUUAACCUGGGAAUUGCGUUUGAAACUACAAAGCUUAGA
This 461-nucleotide ribosomal RNA is filed under the name uncultured ammonia-oxidizing beta proteobacterium. RNAcentral's name for it is "bacterial SSU rRNA". It matches the Rfam family "Bacterial small subunit ribosomal RNA", at positions 194 to 646 of the family's 1533-position model. Lineage: Bacteria; Pseudomonadati; Pseudomonadota; Betaproteobacteria. The record is from RNAcentral.